UAAUGCUUUGACGCUAUCUUGACACGCUU
RNAcentral lists this small RNA (29 nucleotides) under Bombyx mori (domestic silkworm). RNAcentral's name for it is "ovarian small RNA-19769". The record is from RNAcentral. Lineage: Eukaryota; Metazoa; Arthropoda; Insecta; Lepidoptera; Bombycidae.